This 253-nucleotide ribosomal RNA is filed under the name uncultured bacterium. Its description in RNAcentral is "partial 16S ribosomal RNA". It matches the Rfam family "Bacterial small subunit ribosomal RNA", at positions 524 to 776 of the family's 1533-position model. The record is from RNAcentral.
GACGUAGGGCGCGAGCGUUGUCCGGAUUUAUUGGGCGUAAAGAGCUCGUAGGCGGCUUGUCGCGUCGACCGUGAAAACUUGGGGCUCAACCCCAAGCCUGCGGUCGAUACGGGCAGGCUAGAGUUCGGUAGGGGAGACUGGAAUUCCUGGUGUAGCGGUGAAAUGCGCAGAUAUCAGGAGGAACACCCAUAGCGAAGGCAGCUUGCUGGGACGUUACUGACGCUAAGGCGCGAAAGCGUGGGGAGCGAACAGG